RNAcentral lists this ribosomal RNA (253 nucleotides) under uncultured bacterium. RNAcentral's name for it is "partial 16S ribosomal RNA". It matches the Rfam family "Bacterial small subunit ribosomal RNA", at positions 524 to 776 of the family's 1533-position model. The record is from RNAcentral.
UACAGAGGGUGCGAACGUUGCUCGGAAUCACUGGGCGUAAAGCGCGUGUAGGCGGGCGAUCAAGUCAGGUGUGAAAGCCCCAGGCUCAACCUGGGAACUGCACUUGAAACUGGUUGUCUUGAGUACUGGAGAGGGAAGCGGAAUUCCUGGUGUAGAGGUGAAAUUCGUAGAUAUCAGGAGGAACACCGGUGGCGAAGGCGGCUUCCUGGACAGUUACUGACGCUGAGACGCGAAAGCGUGGGGAGCAAACAGG